CCUACGGGAGGCAGCAGUCGAGAAUCAUUCACAAUGGGGGAAACCCUGAUGGUGCGACGCCGCGUGGGGGAAUGAAGGUCUUCGGAUUGUAAACCCCUGUCAUGUGGGAGCAAAUUAAAAAGAUAGUACCACAAGAGGAAGAGACGGCUAACUCUGUGCCAGCAGCAGCGGUAAUACAGAGGUCUCAAGCGUUGUUCGGAAUCACUGGGCGUAAGGCGUGCGUAGGCUGUUUCGUAAGUCGUGUGUGAAAGGCGCGGGCUCAACCCGCGGACGGCACAUGAUACUGCGAGACUAGAGUAAUGGAGGGGGAACCGGAAUUCUCGGUGUAGCAGUGAAAUGCGUAGAUAUCGAGAGGAACACUCGUGGCGAAGGCGGGUUCCUGGACAUUAACUGACGCUGAGGCACGAAGGCCUGGGGAGCGAAAGGGAUUAGAUACCCUAGUAGUC
This 446-nucleotide ribosomal RNA is filed under the name uncultured bacterium. RNAcentral describes it as "partial 16S ribosomal RNA". It matches the Rfam family "Bacterial small subunit ribosomal RNA", at positions 338 to 795 of the family's 1533-position model. The record is from RNAcentral.